RNAcentral lists this ribosomal RNA (382 nucleotides) under uncultured soil bacterium. RNAcentral describes it as "bacterial SSU rRNA". It matches the Rfam family "Bacterial small subunit ribosomal RNA", at positions 26 to 404 of the family's 1533-position model. The record is from RNAcentral.
AGAUUGAACGCUGGCGGCAUGCCUUACACAUGCAAGUCGAACGGCAGCACGGGAGCAAUCCUGGUGGCGAGUGGCGAACGGGUGAGUAAUAUAUCGGAACGUGCCCAGUCGUGGGGGGAUAACGCAGUGAAAGCUGUGCUAAUACCGCAUACGAUCUAUGGAUGAAAGCGGGGGACUCGCAAGAGCCUCGCGCGAUUGGAGCGGCCGAUAUCAGAUUAGCUAGUUGGUGGGGUAAAAGCCCACCAAGGCGACGAUCUGUAGCUGGUCUGAGAGGACGACCAGCCACACUGGAACUGAGACACGGUCAGACUCCUACGGGAGGCAGCAGGUGGGAAUUUUGGACAAGUGGGCGCAAGCCUGAUCCGAGCAAGUCGCCGCGUGC